Molecule: long non-coding RNA, 3429 nt
Filed under: Podarcis lilfordi (Lilford's wall lizard)
Lineage: Eukaryota; Metazoa; Chordata; Lepidosauria; Squamata; Lacertidae
Source: RNAcentral
UGAGUGUUGAAUAUGUUUUUCUUCUUCCUUGCCCUAUUUCUGUUGGUUCCCCAGUCCCCCGCCACCCCUAUUUUAUGGUCUAAAGUGCUAGUGCAAAAAGGGUGUGUUCUUUCAGGUUUAUAGCCUUGACUAAUGGAAUUGCUCUAAAUAACAUUUUGAUCUUGUAAGGUCACACAGAGUGCUAUACCUUUCCUUUAAUGAUUCAGGUCUGGACUAAGCAUUUCCCAGAAUUGAGAUGGUAAUGAAGUCAUUAGUUUCUUCCUACUUGAAGCUCUGGUUAGAAAAGGGAUUUCUAUGGGUAGAGCCUGAGUGGUCCUUUUUUAUGCAGUUCAUACCCAGCUGAGCUAUAACACCUGUUACAUUUUCCCAAGCAGCCUGAGCUGCAGACUUUGCCCAAUCUAUUUGCUCUUCUUAUUCUUCAGCAGCACACGGGACAAAAGCUGAGCAACUGUGUUUUCUAAGGCAGUGCUAAUUGAAAAUUUCUGACCAGUGCAAAUGUUAGGGCCCCUUAUGAGGCCUUCUUGAUGAUUUCCUCGUUGUCUUUCGUGAUAGAAGAAUAAUGCAAAACUCAAACUAAUUAGGAAAAAUGACGUUUCAGUUGUUUUGAACUCGGACAGAGAAGCAGAGGGGUGAAAAACAGAGUGUAAAUGUGAAAAAACCACCACCCCAAUAAUUACAUUGUUAUUCAGUGCUGCAUUAUUCUAACCAAGGAUGGGGAAAUAUAAGUUGGAUUCAUAAUAAAACAGAAAUGAGGAUUAGGGGAAGUAAUAAUUGCUCUGUGUAGAUGUUGGGUACUGGAGUGGCUGAUAAACACAAAAAAGGUCGAACAGUGUGUUAUGUAUUAUAUGCUGCUGUGUACGCGCUGUACAUUUAAAGCACAUGACUUCCUCCAAAGAACUCUGGGAACUGUAGUUUGGUAAGGGUGCCAGGAACUAUAGCUUGAUUAAAUUACAAUUCCUGUGAUUCUUUGGAGGAAGCCAUGUGCUUUAAAUGUAUAGUGUGUAUGAAGCCUUAAUGUCAUACCAAUGAAAGUCAGAACAAUAAUAAUACUAAAACGUAAACAAUCCAGGACUACCAAUGGUCUAUGACCUUCAUGCAGUUGGUCUGCAGCAUCUCUAUAAAAAUGCAAUUAAAAAGCCCACAUUAUCUAGCACAGAGCAUUACAAUCCUGCUUUUCCAUAGGACAUCCCAAUUUUCAUCGGAUAAAUGUUGGAGGGUAUGGAGUUAUGCGAACCCCUGAGCCAAGGAGAUAAGUAACUAUAAAGGUGAAAGUAAAGGACCCCUGGACGGUUAAGUCCAGUCAAAGGCGACUAUGGAGUGCAGCACUCAUUUCACUUCAGACCAAGGGAGCCGGCGUAACUAUAAAACUUUUAGAAGAUAUCUGAAGGCAGUCCUGUAUAGGGAAGUUUUUUUUUUAAUGUUUAAUUCUUUAUUAUGUUUUUAUUUAUGUUGGAAGCCACCUAGAGUGGCUGUGGCAACCCAGUCAGAUGGGCUGGGCAACAACAACAACAGCAACAACAAUUCUGAAAUCUCACAAGAUCUCAUGCUCUGUGAGACUUCAUGAGAAUUCGAGGAGAUCUUGCAAGAUCUUGCUGUACAUCAGCACCAAUGCUGGUGUCGGUGUGGUGGCAAUGCUGAUUGGCCAGAAGUACGGGGGGGGAGAGGUAGGUGGCCUGGCAGCAGUGCCAGCAGUGGGGCAGGUGGUGCGACAGAGUGGGGCGUCACUUCUCAUUUUACCUCACAUGGCAAAAUGGGAUGUGCCACCCCUCGCUCCUGUUGCGACUCACCUUGCAUCAGACCCCAACUCGCAAGGGGGUCUGACCCACCAGUAAAAUACAAAUGACUUAACGCAUUCAUUUCAAUGAGUACAGGUGCCCCUAAUUCUACAUAGGAUUGGGUUGCUAUUUGACUACCGUGGGACCAUAUUUAAUGGGGUUGUAAGCUAAAGGAACAGCUAUUCUGUUUCCAGUUUGCUACUCCUGUUGUUGUUGUUGUCAUCCAUCUGUCUCGGGUGACAAUUGAAGAGUGAGGGCAAAGUCAAACUAUUAAAGGGUUGCUGUUCCUGCUGUGGCUGUAGAGACCAAUACGGGAGAGACGUGUUUUUAUUGCCGUUGGGGCAGAUGAAGGUGUCUGGUUUUGCUGUUUGAGAUGCACCAUGGCUUUUCUUCUGUCUGUGCUCCUGUUUCUUCUCUCUGCGCUCCUGUUGUUUUUAAAAAAAGAAUAUUACAAAUGGGCUCUCCUUCUAAGGGUAAGGUGUAGCUUUUGUUUUGUAACUAAUAUCUCCUCGGCACCUGAAAAAAAAAGUCACUUAUAUCGAGGUUUUGGUGAAAUGAAAAUGUAAUGGAUCAAUUAAUUGAUUUAAAAGGUUGAUGAUCAUCAACUAGAAAUUCUUUAAUAAUUGAUCAACAGUUAUUAAAUUAUUCUUCUUUAAUAACUGAUUCCUAAUAAGAAUAUAGAAAUAUGCAAGGAAUAGGAAAGACUGUCUCCAUAUGUAUCACAGGAAGGAGAGGAUUCUAAGUCACAAUCAGAAAAGGCCAUAUAGAUCAGGCAGAAGGACAGUACUUAGGUAAGUUGCGCACACUUCCUGAAUUCUGUGUAUUUAACCAUUUCCAUUUAACAUCAUUAUUCUGUGUGGAUUUGCUAAAUGUUAAUUUGACAUUAACCUUUUGAAAUUAUCAGGGGCAAGAGAGGUCAGAUCCUUCCAGUAUUUGCCAGGGAUGAUUAUGCAAAUAUACUGACUCUGCUUAUUGUGAGAGUACUGUUUGGCCUGGUGAAUACAAAUGCAAAGAUGGAGAAAUUUAUGACUGAUGAGAUGCAGCGAGUGUGAUUGAAGCAUAUGCUAAUAAAGAAAAGCAGCAUAAAGAAUUUUAGGAGUGCAGAAUUGUACUACUGGAAGGGUCAGGAGAUGCUAACUAGUACAUGCCCCAAAUGGCGGGUCUUGCAAUAUCUAAAACUGUUCCUGGCAUGUGUUUAUUCUAACCUAUUCUAAGGUCUUAUAUACACAUUCAAACAGCCAUGUGGGUGACUGCAUAAAGUACAACUGCAUGGACAAGUUGCUUGCUAAAGGAACUACUGUCAGGAGCUAAGCCUCCACUUGAGUAGGACUCUGGCAGAGACACAUGCCCGACUGGCAUGUUCUCUCCCUCCCGGUUGAUCAUUCGGGAGCUUCAAAAGCUUUCUUCUGCCCGAACAUCACAGUGACCAAUGCCAACAGACAUCGGCACACUUAGGGAGCUGCAGAGUCUUCGCAACUUGCAUAACAGACCUCAGCAACUCAGCAUUUUGGCUAAUCUACUUUAUUUACAUAUUAACACACACGGAGCACUGCAACAUGGCUCCCUCUCUCUCUAGCACCAGAUAGCAAAGAGAAAAAACAAAACAAAGGACAAUAGUCCCACUUCAUGGAACAUAGUAACACAAACAUCCUUU